CGGUGACGCACUCGUCCGAGUCGCUCGCGCUCCUUGCCGCUGCGGAGUGGCGCCCGUGUGCGAAGCGUGGCUACAACUGCGUGCGGAGAGCCCGAGCUUCCUACUCCAUCGAGCCCCGCGGCCGUCUCUACAAUCUGCAACAAAAUAAAGGGGUCCCGAGAAGCGCAAGUCGGUUCGUUUGUCCCACGGAGGUUUACCCCUGUAUUCGUCCUGGAAAGAGAGCGGAGGGACUAUUUGACGGGCGGAGGGAUAAUAGGACCUUCGCGGGGGGUGACGGGGUUGAAAAGCCAUGUGCUUCUUUGUUUACAAAAACAGCGCAGAGCGCAGAUUCCACUAACGGCUCUGCGUGAUUUUACUCUCAUAUUUCUGACAGAAAUGUGAGAGUAAUACUCGUAACGCGAAAGCAGAGUUGGAUAUGGCCGAGCAGGCGUCUGGCUGAGGAGAUUCGCGAUCAAACGAAAAGAAGGAGAGUGAUUUAUUAGCCCGCCGAAGAAGGGGAUGUGGAGAAAAGUGGGCACCGCGGCGCGACUCGAGGCGAGCUGGUCCUCCGCUGUCAGCCUCUGGAUAUCGGGGCUGCUUCUCUGUUUCUGGCGGACUGAGGGAAAAGGGUCAGGUUCCUGCAGCAGUUCUACAAAGAGAAUGAGUCUCAAAUUAUUCCUUUAAAAAUGGUGCCCAGCAGGCGAGUGAAGAGAACUUGUGGUGCUUGCUUACUGAAAACAAGUGGCCCUGCAGGUGGUCCUGGAUCACGUGGCUGCGGAGGACCCCGAGCUGCUGGAGCGCGUGUGUGAAAAUGACAAAUGCUACAUCAUCCUCUUCUUUGAUGUUGUGCACAACCUGCUGCCAAAUGCAGGGAGAAGGAGGUCAGAGCAGAGCUGUCUGGUCACCCUUCUUCAAGCUCCUCAUCCUCUGCACAAGUCAGCAGCGUGUUGACCACAAGUCUUGUGGGCCAGCUGUGCUUGCACAUGCAAGAUUCAAAGGUCAUCUUGUUUCCAGGGGCUGUGCACACAGGGACAUGUAAGCAAAUGCUCUUGUGUCCAAGUUCC
Molecule: long non-coding RNA, 1043 nt
Filed under: Scleropages formosus (Asian bonytongue)
Lineage: Eukaryota; Metazoa; Chordata; Actinopteri; Osteoglossiformes; Osteoglossidae
Description: lncRNA (ENSSFOG00015033298.1)
Source: RNAcentral